Molecule: long non-coding RNA, 821 nt
Organism: Drosophila hydei
Lineage: Eukaryota; Metazoa; Arthropoda; Insecta; Diptera; Drosophilidae
Exons: 3
Source: RefSeq, a predicted model, not a curated record
CAACAUUUCGGACAAUGUCAAUUUGUUAGCAUUUAUUGAAUUGUGAAUUAUUAAAGCGCACAAAUUGAAAACGCAACUGUAUGAGAGCCGGGACAGAAGUUGCAGAGUCCCCGUACCUACAUAUGUGGCUAUCUUACAGAAAUACCAUAUUGUAUACAGAGCACAAAGCGCACAAAGGCAGAGUCGAUUUAGCAAAAUAAGAAAAGAAGCCAACGAAAUCGAAGGUGAAUCUCAUCUGGAAACGCUUCAAGCGAGACCCAUAAUCUUGGGUAACAUAAGUCCGAAGAAUACAUAUGUAGAAUAUUUAUUUUAAAACUUAUAUGUACAAGGAUACUCGUCCAUGCGAGUUCCUAAUGAGUUGAGACCCGAAAGCGGGGAUUUUGAAGCUAGUAUAAAGUAAUCAUAUAGAUUUAUGCCUAUGCGCGAAUAUACUCUGUUCCGGAUAAGUCGAGCUGGCUUGGGGCACCUUCAUAAAAGUCCAAUCAGACCACAACCAGAAACACCACAAACUUCACUUAUGGGAGGGUUUCUGGUCGUGGGCAUUGAGUGCCAAAAUAAAUGCCAAUGAAAGCGGGAAAUAAAUGCAAACACACGCACACACUCCCUCGGCCUCACACACACGCUCGCACAGAGCCAUUCACAUACACAAUAUUCGAAUAGAUUGAAAGGAAAUACUACAAAAUGUAUUAGUUGAGAGGGAGAAGGAGAAUGCGGUUUGUGGCUUGAGUUCUUGUUAUCCUUGCUAGUUGCGUAUGAAUUCAACAAAUUUAAUAAGCAAAUAGAGCGAAAAGUGCAGAGACUGCGAAAUAAGCCGUCAUUGA